CCAGCCCUUAUCAGUUAUCUCUCGGUUUCCUACUUGCCUUCUUCAUUUUUGAUUUUUUUUCCUUUGAUUGAUUCAUUGUUUCCUUCUCAAGCCAAAGAUUAUUGAGCAAAUCAUACAUAAAUAAAUAUAUUAUUUAUUUAUACUAUAUAAGAUUCAAAUUACAAACCAAUGAAACCAUAGAAGAAGAAAAAUCUGCGGCUCAAAUUAAUCAGUCAAUCUUUAGAAAAAAUCAAAAUUUCUCGUUUCUCCAAAGUCGAUCGGCCUUCAACAUUUGAAGAUUGUUGAAGAUAAUCCGGCUGGGAGUUAAAUUAUCGGUUAUUGGAUCUUCAGUUGCUAGAUUAAAGUUUGGUCCAAAUGCUAGAAGCCAUAUUGAUUACCAUUAUGUUUCAUCAGCAAGUGGUGAUACUGAUACAGAUUGUGGAACAAAAGCACAAGGAGUUGUGGCACGUCUUCUGGGAAUGGAUUCAUUGCCAACUUCAAACGUUUUUUUUUUUCUAUCCCUAUUCUACUCCGUUUAUAGGGUCUCACUCUUUCAGAGAUUCUCGUUACUUGGGAACCCCCGUGUUUUAGAAUGAACAUGAUAUUGUAAUCUUUGAAAGAGUGAACAUGAACCCGUGUCUUCUAGCAUUCGGACCAGUUGUAGCUCGUGAUGUGGCAACAGAAAUUCAUGAUGGCUGUUAUCUAAAAAUUUAUCAUGUAUUUCCUGCUGCCUGUGUGAUUUUGAAUUUUUUUCCCCAAAUAAUGAAUUUCAAAUUAAUAUAGCUUUUA
This is a long non-coding RNA of Olea europaea var. sylvestris, 768 nucleotides long. RefSeq lists it as uncharacterized. The record is from RefSeq and is a predicted model, not a curated record. NCBI's taxonomy places the organism in Eukaryota, Viridiplantae, Streptophyta, Magnoliopsida, Lamiales, Oleaceae. The transcript is spliced from 3 exons.